CCUAACCAGUUUCUCUAUUCAAAACCACCAACUAAAGUACGAAUCGGAACCCGCCCCAGUUUACUGCAAAACCAUUUUGGCCUUUCAAGUAGCGCUACCAGUGCUCCGGGAGUAGCACUUCACAUCAUUUCCUUAUCCUUUUAAGAUAUGGGUUUUGAAUAGAAUAAUCAAUAAAUUGAGGAAUAGCUGAUGGAUAUAGUUGAAUCCAUUGUGGACAUUCCAAUUCAGGAUCCACCUGAAGAGGAUUUCUCUGCUGUUGAUUUGGGUUGGACGAAGUUUGGCACAGCUGAGCAUCAUGAUGAUGUAGCUCUCAUUCCUUAUUCACGAGUUGAUUCAUUUAUAAUUGGAGAGUGCUCUAAUGUAGAAUGCCCUACACGCUUUCAUAUUGAGAGGGGAAGAAAACGAGCAAAGGGCAGCUUAAAGGAGUACAAGAAUGAUGAGUAUUUGGAAUAUAGGCUGUAUUGGUGUUCAUUUGGUCCUGAAAAUUAUGGUGAAGGUGGUGGCGUGUUGCCUAGUCGAAGAUAUCGACUUAACACUAGAAAUCGUGCUGCCAGACCUCAGUCCAUGCGGGGAUGUACAUGCCAUUUUGUAGUGAAGAGGCUCUAUGCUCGUCCAUCACUUGCACUCAUUAUAUAUAAUGACAGGCGUCAUGUCAACAAGUCAGGUUUUAUCUGCCAUGGGCCCCUUGACAGAGAUGCCAUUGGCCCUGGGGCCAAGAAAAUUCCUUAUAUCUGUAAUGAGAUUCAACAGCAAACAAUGUCUAUGAUCUAUCUUGGCAUUCCUGAAGAGAGUGUGUUAGAGAAACAUAUUGAGGGUAUUCAGCGAUAUUGUGGUUCAAACCCUAAUGUCAACACUCUUGCUUCUCAGUAUGUCCAAAAACUUGGGAUGAUAAUUAGGCGGUCUACCCAUGAGUUGGACCUAGAUGAUCAAGCUAGCAUCCGGAUGUGGGUUGAACGCAAUAAGAAGUCUAUUUUCUUUUAUCAGGAUUCAUCAGAAACAGAUCCUUUCAUUCUUGGUAUUCAAACUGAAUGGCAGUUACAACAAAUGAUCCGAUUUGGUCAUCGCAGUCUCAUGGCCGCUGAUUCAACCUUUGGCAUAAAGCGACUUAAGUACCCCUUGUGCACUCUUCUUGUUUUUGAUUCAAGACAACAUGCACUUCCCAUUGCAUGGGUCAUCACACGAAGCUCUGCAAAGCCUGAUGUGGCUAAAUGGAUGAAAGCUCUACUUGAUCGUGCUCGGGGUGUUGAAAUUGGAUGGAAAAUCAGUGGAUUUCUCAUUGAUGAUGCAGCAGCUGAGAUUGAUCCCAUAGGGGAGAUUUUUUGCUGUCCUGUCUCCUUUUCCUUGUGGCGUGUUCGUAGAUCAUGGCUUAGGAAUAUUGUUAGAAAAUGCAGUAAUAUUGAAAUUCAGCGGGAAAUUUUCAAGCAACUAGGAAAUAUACUGUAUAGCAUAUGGGAUGGACGUGAUCCUUUUGCUGCCUUGCUAGAAUUAACUCAGGAUUUUGUUGAUCAAACUGCAUUUAUUGGGUACUUCAAAGCAUCUUGGGUACCUAAGCUCGAGAUGUGGCUUACAACAAUGAAAACUCUUCCAUUGGCAAGCCAGGAGGCAUCUGGUGCCAUAGAAGCUUAUCAUGUGAAGCUGAAAGCCAAACUAUUUGAUGAUUCACAUCUAGGUGCACUCCAGAGAGUUGAUUGGUUAGUACACAAGUUAACGACUGAGUUGCAUUCAAGCUACUGGCUUGAUCGGUAUGCAGAUGAAAGUGAUUCUUUUCAAAAUGUUAAGGAGGAAUAUAUUGCAUCUACAUCUUGGCACCGAGCAUUGCAAAUUCCAGAUUCUGCUGUUACCUUGGAUGAUAAGGACCGUCUCUUUGCAAAGGUCUUGAGCCAAAAAGACAGCAGCCUGACACAUCUUGUGUGGAAUCCUGGUUCGGAAUUUGCUUUCUGUGAUUGUGCUUGGUCAAUGCAAGGAAACAUUUGCAAGCAUAUUAUCAAAGUCAAUAUGAUGUGUGCAAGCCAUGGAGGAUAUAAAACUUCCAUGUCUUUUCAGUCAUUGAAAGAUAUAUUGAUGAAUCUUUCGAAAAUACCCAUAGAUGACUCAGUUGCUCUAGAUCAAUCUGUGGCUUGGACUCACCAGAUGCUUGAUCAAAUUAAACAACUGGUUGAACUGAGUAGUUCAAAUAAUAUUGGUACUGUUGUAAGUAAUCUGCCUCUGAAAUGGGUUUCUAAGAAAGGCAGGACAUUUACUGGUAUACCAUCAUCUACUCUGUCUCUUCGCUUGGCUUCUGAUGCUGGUACAAAGAAUGCGACUGCAUGUAAAAAGAACCGAAAGAGAAAAAGACUGUCUCGACUAAGAUGAUUGCAUGAGUAGGUAGAUAUAAAAUUCCUUCAUGGAUAAAUUUGACUUCUGAAAUUCAAGGUUUUCUGCUUUACAACUAUAUUUGAUUUCUAUGUGGCCGGCAUAUCAUCUUAACUCUCUUCCUGGUUGAGUUUUAUCUUUUCUCGAAAUCUUAUGUUCUAUCAAGAAUUAGUAUACACCCUGCCACCACCAAUCUGUAAUGUUGAAUGGUGUGGUUUUUGAAUGGUCGAAAGUGUAAGGAAGCAGUUGAGGAGACUAAAGGUUUAGAUAUUCAUGUUUGUUUCACAUUCAUCUUUGGGAAAAUUCUUGUGCGGUUGCAAUUGCCAAUAAGGUAGCUGUCAAGCUCUGCUUCAGAAUUUUGAAAGCAGUCAAGAGCAUUAUACAUUUCUUUUCUUCACCAAGUUCCUUAACAAUUACGCCUUUCUGAUUUGUAUUGUUUGAACUUUUCAGGGUUGAAUAAUUGGAUUUCUACAGAGAAGAUUGAAGGCAUUUCUUUGAGAAAGGGUUUAUUUUAUUAAUCCCUACAAGGGGUUUUGACACUGUUACUUGGAUUUUCAUUUAUAAUAUAUUUUAAGGUUUUUUUUUUUUUUUUUUAAAUCUAGGGUGUUAUAUAUAUUUUUGGAUUUCAAAGGUUGCGAUCUUAUCAGGUGAUCUUACAAGCAUAAAUGAAAUAAUCCCUUUCAGGAAACUAUGUUAGCUGUAUCAGGUGAUCUUACCAUAUCGAAUAGGCAGCUAUAAUGUAUCAAAAAUAUGUUAGUUUUUCUGGGAAAAUCUGCUUCACUGUUUUGCAGAAUUUGUGCUCCAUAAAUACGAAAUUUGGAAGCAUAAUGUGAAGUUGUUGUUGUUGGUUCUGUUUUGGA
This is an RNA transcript of Mangifera indica (mango), 3212 nucleotides long. RefSeq lists it as uncharacterized. Lineage: Eukaryota; Viridiplantae; Streptophyta; Magnoliopsida; Sapindales; Anacardiaceae. The record is from RefSeq and is a predicted model, not a curated record. The transcript has 7 exons.